This 498-nucleotide ribosomal RNA is filed under the name uncultured bacterium. RNAcentral's name for it is "bacterial SSU rRNA". It matches the Rfam family "Bacterial small subunit ribosomal RNA", at positions 28 to 521 of the family's 1533-position model. The record is from RNAcentral.
GAUGAACGCUAGCGGCAGGCCUAACACAUGCAAGUCGAGGGGUAGGGUUAGCUUGCUAACUUGAGACCGGCGCACGGGUGCGUAACGCGUAUGCAAUCUACCUUGUACAGAGGGAUAGCCCAGAGAAAUUUGGAUUAAUACCUCAUAGUAUCUUUACCUGGCAUCGGGUAAUUAUUAAAGUUCCAACGGUACAAGAUGAGCAUGCGUCCCAUUAGUUAGUUGGUAAGGUAACGGCUUACCAAGACAAUGAUGGGUAGGGGUCCUGAGAGGGAGAUCCCCCACACUGGUACUGAGACACGGACCAGACUCCUACGGGAGGCAGCAGUGAGGAGUAUUGGUCAAAUGGACGCAAGUCUGAACCAGCCAUGCCGCGUGCAGGAAGACGGUCCUAUGGAUUGUAAACUGCUUUUUAUACAGGUAAGAAAACAACUCUACGUGUAGAGUCUUGACGGUACUGUAGGAAUAAGGAUCGGCUAACUCCGUGCCAGCAGCCGCGGU